This is a long non-coding RNA of Gallus gallus (chicken), 1974 nucleotides long. Lineage: Eukaryota; Metazoa; Chordata; Aves; Galliformes; Phasianidae. The record is from Ensembl.
AUCUCACUGGAGUUCCAUACCUGCCUGAGGCCUUUCAAAGCCUAGCUUUUACAGAGAGCAUAAAGAACUAGAGUCCAAAAGCAGGCAUAUGCAGAGGGCCAUUUAAGAUACCCAUUUGGAAACCUGAUGAUCAAUUACGUCUUAAAUACCACCUCUUUCUGUGGACUUAAGGUAAGGGGAAAUGCUAACCUUCUUUCUGGCUUUCUUUUGACAAAAGUAAAUGCAAAAUUUCCUUCUUUUAAACAGAUGGCUAAAAAGUAGCUGUUUCCUCUUCUACUCUUAUUUAUCUCAGUAGCUAAACUACUCACUGAAGAGGCAAGGUACUUCAGUUCACAGCUUCUUCUACCCAGGGAAUUGAAAUUCAAAUUGAAAUCCUUAUCUGUCUUUCUAAAGAGUGCUUCAUCACCACUAUAUGUUGUAUGAUGUAUACAUCUGUAAGUAUGUAAGAGAGCAUUUUUCUAUCAUUUUAGGGAAAUAGUUUAUUUUGCAUGACAUACUAAUUAGGGAGCAGGUGUACCCCUUUACAUCCUAAGCUUGUGGUGGGGAUGCUAUCCUGGUGAGAGAGGAAAAACAUAGGUUCAGAUUCCCUAAAAUGUAUGAAUUAAUUCAAAUCAGACCUCCUGCACUCUGCUGUGUUCUGAAUUCAGGACAGAAGGAGUUAUUACUGAUUAUUGCUCUUGUAUUCUUCUAAUGCCACACUUGAAAGUUCUCAUGAAAUUAAAAAUGAGCCUUUUGUGCUAAAACAAUUUUUUUUUCUCUUUAGUACUAACAGACAAAAUAGAAUCUGGUCUUUGCAAGUAGCAUUCCCAUGUGGGCUCCAGGAAGAUAUUUGAUUGUCUUUAGGGCAAGAACUAAUUCAGAGAAAGGCUCUUUUAUUCACCACCUAUGAAUCCUGACCUUGACCUAGAAAGUCUAUCCUCAGUGUUGUAUGAGGGGCAAUUAAACUUCUGUUAAGCCAAACCUCCCUAUCACAGCAAAACAUGUCAAGUGUAUCAGAGCUCAAACCUCCAAUCUCAUUUUAUUCCCUUUAAAUGUGCCAGGGUGCCUCAAAUUAAUUUGAAUGAGCUGAGAACAACAGCAUUUAAUAGUUUUGAGAAACUGGAAGAUCCUUUAAUCUCUUUUGGGUUGUUUUUUGUUGUUUGGGUGGUUCUUUGUUGCAGGGAGAACAGGUUUCCACAGACACUUCCAAAAGCAGACAUGUGGCUCAGAUGUUUAACUGUAGUUCAUUCAACUCAGACCAGUGCAGCUGAGAGGUUACUCUGCACCUACUGAAUGUUGUAGCUGUUUGUUAGUAACAGCUCAUGUGUGUGUUUCUGAACAAAUGCAGUGAGGAGGAGGGGGCAGGCCAGAGUAUGUGCAUGCCCUGUGUCCUGAGGGGAAGGACUUCUUCAGCUUCUAUUGCCAAGUGGUUAAUACACUGACCACUCCUAACCUUUCAGAGGCUCCAAGAAGGUGGGAAGUGUAUUCAACUAGAGCACAUAUUGUUGAACAAAUGAUGGUCAGACAGUUCACUGAGUUCUUAUGGAAAGUGAAGACACUUUAAAAUUCAUGUCCUCCAAUUCGUGCUGAAGGAGCACAACAUGAUCUUUGAUAUUCUGUUUUCUGUCAGUAGCGUCUGACUACAAUAAAGGUUUGCAUGUCUCUAGAAGCUGCAGGUAACCAUUGCUUUUCUGAGGUCUAUACUUAAUUAUACUACAUUUAAAUUUAGUUCUUGCUUCUGCUAGCAGGUGGUAUUUAUACCACAAGAAUAUAAGGGAUUGAGAUGGAGCUUGGUUACUGUUUUACACAGGAGUAAAUCUCACUCACUGUAAAACCCCAAAUGUCAAUCUAUUUCCUUAAAGCUGCAUUUUCUUAUGUUCAGUGCAUCCAGAAGCACCUUCUAUCUUAAGUCCUUGAAAAUAUGGAAGUUUUACAGCAAGAUAGAUGCUGAAAAUGACAUGUAACAGCUUAUUUUCCUAGUAAAAGCAAUGCUUC